UGACAGUUCAACUUUGUUGUCAAUUUUACAAAAUUUGAAAGUAGGGACCUGAACAAAAGCCACCUCUUUUGGCUUCUAUUUGGGUUCUGAAAAGAAGAUAGAAAGCUGUAAAUCGAUAACCUAGAAGGGAGGGGAGAAGAGAGAGGGUUCAAAAGGGAGACUAGUGUAGCCGCCGCCCUACUCUUCUUCCUUCUAAUCUCCGCCGCCUCAUAUCGACCCCCAACCGCCUCAGACCUCCUCUAAUGGAGGUCCAUGCUCAGGCCAAGCGAGGCUUCUCUGUCAAAGAAGACGAAGUAGCUUCACCUGCUGAUCUGAGCUUUGAGGCACCUCUCAAAAUUGUGGAAUACCCAGACCCUAUACUAAGAACCAAGAAUAGGCGAAUUGAUACAUUUGAUGAUAAUUUGAAGAAAUUAGUUGAUGAGAUGUUCGAUGUAAUGUACAAGUUAGCAAUCGAAGAUUACACAGAUGGUUAAAUGAUCACCUAUUGAUGGAACUUGUUCCUCGUUUGAAUGCAGAAGAGAUUAGAGGCUUAUUUGCUCCACCACCUUGGGGUGAGACUGCUUCAUUAGCCUUUUAAUUAUGUGAAAAUGGAAACAGGCCAAUCUCAUAGAUCAGUGUUGAUCAUGGCAGAGGUGAAAAACUUCAGGGUCGAUGAGCUGAUGGAGUUUUACAAAUCAGAUUUGAAACUGAAGAAGUUCCUGCACAUAAUUGAGAAUUCACAAGUGUAUCCUGUUUUGUAUGAUCACAACAGGUCACUGGUUUGUUAAAUAAAAUGCAAUUGCAUGCCAAGAAGUCUGACUCAGCAGAAAAUAGUUUUCAAUAUUGGAGCCAAACACAUCCUUAGUUUUUCAAAGAAAGGGAAAACAACUAUUGUGAAGAGGCAUCUCACUGGUGAAUUUGAGAAGAAUGUGCAGAUAACCGGCCCAAGCUAAUUGCUGGGUCACUUGUGGAUGGGAAGCCAAGAGAAGCUAGGAUGAAUCACCCAAAAGGGAUUACUGUCAAUCAACCACAAAAAUAUCUAUAUUGCUUACACUCUGAAUAUGGCCAUCAGGAAGAUCAGUGAUGCAGGGAUAAUAGUACUUGUUACAGCCGGGUUCUUUGGUUACAAAACACCAUAAACCAAGGAAAGUAACUCUGUAUUGGAUGCAUUAUACAUGUGGGAUUCUUGGUUUCUCGGUCUGUUCAAUUUGGGUCUUGAAGCAUAGUAGAUUGAUGGGAAGCUCUGACAUUAACAACUAGAUUCGUGAGGUAAAGGACUCGACUAUUAGCUUUUGGAAUGACCAUGUAGAGCGACUGGUAUAAACUUUUUGGAUAGUCUAAAUUUUUUGUAUAUUUUAAAACUUAAGGAUAUAGUUUUCGAAUGUUUUGAAUGUAUAGACAAUUGUUGAAUGUUUAUAAUUUAUGGA
This is a non-coding RNA of Camellia sinensis, 1406 nucleotides long. Lineage: Eukaryota; Viridiplantae; Streptophyta; Magnoliopsida; Ericales; Theaceae. The record is from RefSeq and is a predicted model, not a curated record.